AUGCGGGUUGCAGAGCGUUAUAUUUCGGCCUUCUAAGCCGUAGGCCACUGGUUCGAAUCCAGUCGGGCAGGCCA
RNAcentral lists this transfer RNA (74 nucleotides) under Thiomonas sp. 13-64-67. Its description in RNAcentral is "tRNA-Arg". The record is from RNAcentral. Lineage: Bacteria; Pseudomonadati; Pseudomonadota; Betaproteobacteria; Burkholderiales.